AGAGUUUGAUCAUGGCUCAGGACGAACGCUGGCGGCGUGCUUAACACAUGCAAGUCGAGCGAUGAAACACCUUCGGGUGUGAAUUAGCGGCGAACGGGUGAGGAACACGUGAAGAAUCUGCCUUCAACUCUGGGAUAACUCCGGGAAACCGGGGCUAAUACCGGAUAUGAGCCUCGAUCGCAUGAUUGGGGCUGGAAAGUUUUUCGGUUGAAGAUGACUUCGCGGCCUAUCAGCUUGUUGGUGAGGUAAUGGCUCACCAAGGCGACGACGGGUAGCCGGCCUGAGAGGGCGACCGGCCACACUGGGACUGAGACACGGCCCAGACUCCUACGGGAGGCAGCAGUGGGGAAUAUUGGGCAAUGGAGGAAACUCUGACCCAGCGACGCCGCGUGAGGGAUGAAGGCCUUCGGGUUGUAAACCUCUUUCAGUAGGGAAGAAGCGAAAGUGACGGUACCUACAGAAGAAGCACCGGCUAACUAUGUGCCAGCAGCCGCGGUAAUACAUAGGGUGCAAGCGUUGUCCGGAAUUAUUGGGCGUAAAGAGCUCGUAGGUGGUUCGAUACGUCGGAUGUGAAAAUCAGGGGCUCAACCCCUGACCUGCAUCCGAUACGGUCGAGCUAGAGUUUGGUAGGGGAGACUGGAAUUCCUGGUGUAGCGGUGGAAUGCGCAGAUAUCAGGAGGAACACCGAUGGCGAAGGCAGGUCUCUGGGCCAAUACUGACACUGAGGAGCGAAAGCGUGGGGAGCGAACAGGAUUAGAUACCCUGGUAGUCCACGCCGUAAACGGUGGGCGC
RNAcentral lists this ribosomal RNA (792 nucleotides) under uncultured bacterium. RNAcentral's name for it is "bacterial SSU rRNA". It matches the Rfam family "Bacterial small subunit ribosomal RNA", at positions 8 to 816 of the family's 1533-position model. The record is from RNAcentral.